Molecule: ribosomal RNA, 405 nt
Filed under: uncultured bacterium
Lineage: Bacteria
Description: bacterial SSU rRNA
Rfam family: Bacterial small subunit ribosomal RNA
Source: RNAcentral
UAGGGAAUCUUGCGCAAUGGGCGAAAGCCUGAUGCAGCGACGCCGCGUGAGGGAUGAAGGCUUUAGAGUUGUAAACCUCUUUUCUUAGGGAAGAGCAAGGACGGUACCUAAGGAAUAAGUCACGGCUAACUACGUGCCAGCAGCCGCGGUAAUACGUAGGUGGCAAACGUUAUUCGGAAUUAUUGGGCGUAAAGGGUCCGUAGGCGGCUCAACUAGUCUCAUGUGAAAUCUCUUGGCUUAACCAAGAAAAGUCAUGAGAAACUGUUGGGCUAGAGAUCAUUAGAGGGAGAUGGAAUUCCAGGUGUAGUGGUGAAAUGCGUAGAUAUCUGGAGGAACACCAAUGGCGAAAGCAGUCUCCUAGGAUGUUUCUGACGCUCAGGGACGAAAGCGUGGGUAGCAAACCGG